AACGUAGGAGCCAAGCGUUAUCCGAAUUCACUGGGCGUAAAGCGCAUGUAGGCGGCGUGACAAGUUGGAUGUAAAAACUCCCGGCUCAACUGGGAGAGGCCGUUCAAUACUGUCAGGCUAGAGGGCGACAGAGGGAGGUGGAAUUCCGGGUGUAGUGGUGAAAUGCGUAGAUAUCCGGAGGAACACCAGAGGCGAAGGCGACCUCCUGGGUCGUACCUGACGCUCAGAUGCGAAAGCUAGGGGAGCGAACGGG
This 253-nucleotide ribosomal RNA is filed under the name uncultured bacterium. Its description in RNAcentral is "partial 16S ribosomal RNA". It matches the Rfam family "Bacterial small subunit ribosomal RNA", at positions 524 to 776 of the family's 1533-position model. The record is from RNAcentral.